CACAGAGCGGGCUGACAGGCUGUGUGAAGGCAAAGCAUCUGGAAGGCUGGCUGGACCAGCAUGGUAGAGUUGAGCUUAGUUCGGUGUGUAUGUGUUGCGCUCUUUAACCGAGUUGUAAAAGCAAUCAGAGCAGAAACUGGCUACUCUUUAGUUGACUGAUGUACCUGGCAAGCAGGAUGAGAUGGUGACAGGGGUCCCAGCAGGAUCAAACAGCCAGGGAAUGACCAGUUGUCAUGACGUUGGCCUGUGGAAGUGAUACUUCCUAGUCGUUGAGUUAGCAGCGGCCGCUGUAGACGUGGGCUAGGAAAGGACGGAUGACGGAUCCAAUCUAACACACAACGAAGAUACUACAACGUAUCCAAUUUACCACCAGUGACAUUCUUCCGAGGACAGGAAGAUCUCUGUUGGCCAACACGGCCAGCAUCUAUGCGCAGCUCAGAGAUCAGACGGUGACAGGGAUCUCAGCAGGGUCAGGUAGCCAGGGAAGUCUAUGACAGAAGAUGAUAAAUAUACCCGCUGCAGUUUGGUCCACUCCAUACGACGACCGUUACAGAACCACCCACCAACGAAGGACCAAGCAGCGGAGGAAGGAGCAGCAGGGUAAAGAGGACUGGACAUGGGAGGACAUCCUGGACGGCAAGGGAUCCUACACUUGGGAAGAGAUCCUGGCCGGAAGGGAUCGCCUCCCAUGGGAACAGGUGGAGGCACUCAGAAGAGCGGAGGCAGCAGGAGAAAAGGACCAACGACGAAGGUAUGAGGGAACACGGCUGGCAAGGAAGCCUGAAAGGCAGCCCCAAAAACAUUUUGGGGGGGGGCACACGGGUAGUUUGGCUGGGCCAAGGGUUAGUCCUGAGCCAACUCCCCGUGCUUAUUAUGGGGAGCGAUGGAUCAAGCAAGCACCAUGUUAUGCGGAGAUACACACGGUAUCGCCAGUGCGCAGCUACAGUCCGGUGCGCUUGAUGAAAGCUCCUCACAGGGGUCAUGUUAGAGCCAGCAUCGAGCCAGGACCGGUGAUGCAAGUAGCAAGCAUCAGACCGCCGGUGAGGGUUCAUGGCCCAGUGUAUCCUGUUCCUGCUCCGCGCACUGGCCCUGAGGUGCGUGUUACUAGGCUGGUGCCUCCUAAACCAGCCCCACGCAUCAGGCCUCUAGGGCGCCUGCCCAGUCCAGUACGUCAUGUUCCUGCUCCUCGCACUAGCCCUGAGGUGCAUGUCCAUAGUCUGGCGCCUCCAAAGCCAGCCCCACGCACCAGACCUUUAGUGCGCCUGCCCAGUCCAGUACGUCCUGUUCCUGCUCCUCGCACUAGCCUUGAGGUGCGUGUCACUAGUCUGGCGCCUCCAAAGCCCCACGCAUCAGGCCUUCAGUGCGCAGUCCCCGUCCAGAGCUUCCGGCGACAG
Molecule: long non-coding RNA, 1394 nt
Filed under: Salmo salar (Atlantic salmon)
Lineage: Eukaryota; Metazoa; Chordata; Actinopteri; Salmoniformes; Salmonidae
Description: lncRNA (ENSSSAG00000104702.1, ENSSSAG00000117258.1)
Source: RNAcentral